CUAUGACUUAAUAUGAUUUUUAUGAGGGCUUGAAUGGUCUCAUGCACAUCCUAAUUUAACCAAUCAUAAUGAUGCACUAUAAUAGCUGUAUCUUAAUAAAUAUAACAACUAAUCAUGGCAUCUAAUCAUAUCUCUAAGAUAUGAAAUCAUAAUCAUACAAUAUGAUUAUAACAUAAUAUCUUAAGUAUAUCACAUGCAUGAAGUUUUAAUAACAUACAUCAAUAAAAAAUAUUCAUUUUAUAGUUCUUCUUCUUGGUACAUCACCGUGGCACCCCUACAUACUAUAAAAGCACCCCAA
This 298-nucleotide long non-coding RNA is filed under the name Elaeis guineensis (African oil palm). Its description in RNAcentral is "long non-coding RNA (EGUI_LNC045893)". Lineage: Eukaryota; Viridiplantae; Streptophyta; Magnoliopsida; Arecales; Arecaceae. The record is from RNAcentral.